AAAGGCCUAAUUCCACGACGAGCGAAAUGCGAAAAAUUUCGCGCGAAAACACACUUGCGCAAAUUUUCUCUCGUAGUGAUUUCCACAGUAGAGAAAAAAUUCGCCAAAACACAAGCAUUUGAUUGGUUUCGCUAUUUUGUCAUCCAAAACACAAGCAUUUGAUUGGCUUCGCUAUUUCCAUUUCGCAACAGAGUAGAAACGAAUUCAACUACCCGGCGAAGAGAAAUAUUUCACAGAGAAACAUUCCAAAAUCAUGUUGCGCAUGCGUUCAAUCUUUUCGCGCGAAAUUUUUCGCAUUUCGCUCGUCGUGGAAUCAGGCCUUAAAAGGUACGGAUAUGUGUCUUUUCGUGUCGCUAAUUACAUUAUAAUUUUGGAAAUAUUUCUUCAGAGAUCUUGUCUGGAUCGAUAUUAGUUUACUUCUCUGAAGUUGUGAAAUAAACGGAGGUGCAGAAAUACACAAACUAAAACAGCAGGUUUAAUUUUAACCCAGGGUUAGCGCUAUUCCACCUUUGAACAACCGGUCCCAGAAGUCUUUUCGAGUUGUGGUGACGUCACACACCGUGACGUCACGGCAAUACAUGCGGAAAUUCAAGAUGGCGGCGGAACAAAUACGCGGAAGUGGAGCAGAAAACAGGAAAUUAAACUGUUGCGAUCUUCCGAGGAAAUUUUGUAAAAACAAACAAGUAUUAUGAUUUGAAUUGGAAUGGCCCAUGGUACUGGACCUCUAGGGAGAACAGUGUAGAAUUGAUCGGAACUAUCCGGCAGUAUAUAUAAAAUUUGUUUAGUUUAGGUUUCUUCUGGUAUAGUGACACUGAAUCAAUAAGAGAUUAUCCUUACUUAACUAUGCCUUACUGGACCUCUAGGACUAGGAACAACAGUUUAGAACUGAUAGAGCUAUUUAGUUUAGUUUAGGUUUCUUCCUGUAGUAACACUGGAUCAACAAGAGAUGGUCUUUACUGAAUUUCUAGGAAGACCAGUUUAGAACUGAUAGAGCUAUCCAACAUAAAUAAAAUUAGUUUAGUUAGGUUUCCUCCUGUAGUAACACUGGAUCAAUAAGAGAUGAUCCUUACUGGACCUCUAGGAAGAACAGUUUAGAACUGAUAGAGCUAUCCAGUAUAAAUAAAGUUAGUUUAGUUUAGGUUUCCUCCUGAAGUAACACUCACUGGAUCAAUAUGAGAUGAUCCUUACUGGACCUCUAUAGGAAUAGCAGUUCAGAACUGAUAGAUCUAUCCAGUAUAAAUAAAGUUAGUUUAGGUUUCCUCCUGUAGUAACACUGGAUCAACAAGAGAUGGCUCUUAUACUGCCCGGAUCUCGAGAUCUUGGGGGACCAAUUUAGAACUGAUAUAGUCUGAUACAGCAAUAUUUUUUCGGCUAACCAAAUGUUCAGUCUAAAAAAGGCGAUACAACCUAAACUAAAGCCUUCUUAAAAAUGCGCAAACCACAAACAGAGUAUUACUGUGACUAUAAUGUUUAUGCGGUCGAAGGGAUUAGAGCGGUCGGCCUGGUAUAUAGCAGUAUCUUGCAACCAUAGUACAUCAUAAGCCGAAAUCUCCCCCACUCAGCCGCGAUGUAAUAAGCGCUGUUUGGCAAAGUUAAAAACAAUUAGAUUUUAAACCGAUACAGAUAACGCUUUACCUAUUGUGGUUAUGCUUGUGUUAUUAAACACGACUAUAUAUUGGCUUGUCUUAACCGGACGCUAUAUACUUUUGUUUAUCUUCCAAGCUUUUUAUGUUAUAAUUGUUGCGAUAUGUGUUAUGUGAACGAAAAAUCGACAGUUUUUCCAUUCAUUUUUUCCUCGCUACUUUCGGCAGAAGAGGAUAUAUAAAUACGCGUGCUUCACAAGCAAGCAUUUCUCUUGGAAACAUGCAUAUUUUCUGCUAUAGAUUUAAUAUGUUUAUAUAUACAGAGCGCUGUGCCGUUGUCUUAAAUAAAUAAAGCCAAAUGAAAUAUAUUCAAAUGACAGAGUUUUCGGUAUAAUAUAUAGAUUAUUUUAUUGGACCGCCAGCGAUACUAGCGUUCCGACAUCAAUAUAUUGGGCAGAUAAUAUGAGAUCAUUUGCCGACAGCACAUAAUAUUUUCGGUAAAAAAUAACCUAUGCUUUUAACCCUUUUAAAAGUUUAAUUGUUUCUGCUUUCAUGUGUUACUCUGUCUAACGACAGGCGACUAUUCUUGUCUGGAAAGAAAGAGUUAAAAGUAGCUCCCUAAUUCGGAUGAUUCAAAUUGAGCGAAGACUUUUUCAGUCAGUGCUAUCAGAAGAUAGCGUCCCUUUCAGUUUCACCGCGAGAAGGAUUUAAUUCCUGUGAUAACUGAAAGAGUUAUAUCCAGUGCAAAUAAAGUCACGUUUCCUAGCGACAGGUGAAAAUUUAGGGGGGCAAAAAAAUAUUUGCCAUAGUGACUUUGUACCAUUUUCACCGACCAAUAAAAAAAAUUUCCCUCAUGAGAAACUUUUUGUUGUCGACGGUGGGAUUUUCGAGACGCGUUAAAUUUCUGCAUGGCCAUAUUGCAUAUUCCUUGCAUUUUCGACUGUUAUCGCAUACAAUUUUUUACCCCAUCUUUUUCGGCCCAACUUGUGUAGUUGAAAUUUGCCCAACUUCAAUCAUUCCGGGGGCAGCCUUCACCCUAACCCCCCUCCCCCCGUCUCGUACGCUUAUGUGAAUCUUAGCUGUACAAACACAUAUGAUGUUUAAUUUUCAGGCGAUUAUAUACACAUGGCAAUAUUAACAGUUCGUUACCUUCAUUGCGCAUGCGUUUCCCAGCCUUAUCUGACGCGCUUAUCAGACGGAAUUAUCGGCAAACAAUGGCCCCAAUAAGCCGAGUUUUCAGCUGUGGUAAAAUCGAAAGAGUUUAUCGUGUUCAUUAGAUGUAGCGGUGCCUUUACUCUGCUACAAUACAAGACGAUCUAAUUGAGUAAAUUCGAGCGGCCUUGCUCGUGAAAUAUAUUAAUUCGCUUUCGUCAAGUGCUUUGCUGUCGGUACGCGGAUAGCGCGUUUUGAAAGUGCCUGAAUCGGCGCUGCUUAAACCAAAUUGCGGGACAUUAAAACCCCCGCGCAGCGGCCUACACUGACUAUAUAAACUUCGGCGUAGAGCCGGCUUGUUAGACCCUAGCUGCAGACAAACACUGCUAGACGUUCCAAGUUGUGAAAACUGUGAAAAGACGUAACUGAUUUGGAGAAUUUUUUCGCUGUUUGGAAUUUCGGCAAACAAAAUCUGACGCAAUCAGGUGAAUCAUAGCUUCUGCAUGAUAGUAUAUAUAUAUAGAUCGUUAUGUGUGCAAUUAAACACUAUUAACUCUGGUACAG
This 3299-nucleotide long non-coding RNA is filed under the name Paramuricea clavata. The record is from RNAcentral. Lineage: Eukaryota; Metazoa; Cnidaria; Anthozoa; Malacalcyonacea; Plexauridae.